CCCCCGGCCCACCACCUCCCCACCUCUACCGUCACCGAACCCGAGCCCAGACCCCGAUGCCGCACCACCAAAACUGCCCAGCUCGAAUCCCUGCCGUCGCCAUUCCUUCUUCCCCAGACUCGCCCCCAAUCCCGGCAUCCAGCUCCGAUUCGUGCCCCCAAUCCUAGCACCAAUUCGCCGCUCCCACCUUCAGACGCGACCCCAAUACCGGCGCCCAGUUCGGAUCCUGGCGGCGCCGCAUCAACCUGUCGUCGGCGCUCCUUCACCCACGAGACGCGUCCCCAACUCCGGCGCCGUACCACCCCCAUCCUGGCGCGUCUCGGCCUCCCGUCGGUUCUCUCCACUUUUCUGGAUCGGCGGUGACGGCCCCCAAGAUCCGCCGAAGCCGUCCACCUCAGGGCCGCCCGAUCGCCGGAGAAAAAGGCGGCUGCGUCCACCUCGCCCUCGGUGCCGCCCGAUCGCCGGAGAACAAGGCGGCUGCCGAGGCCAAAGACGCGGCACCGGCGCGCGCUCGCUGCGCCUGCUCCAUCUCCCUCGCCAGUAGGGCAGAGGAUCUCCAGCUGGCAGGCCACAGGGUCAGUGCGCGCGCCCAUGCGGGUCGGCAAACUGGCCUCCGCCAUGCCUUCCUCGAGCAGAUCCACCUCCUAACGCGGGGCCUCGGGCGCCAAGCAGCUCAUGCGGCGACUGCGCCUGCAAGAAGACGCAGACGAAAGUGGCGGCAGGGAGGAGGACGAGCGCCUGCCGCUUCUGCUUAUUAUGCAAAUCGAUGAGUGUAUCAUCAGCGUCAGUCCAUCGCUCCCACUGGCACCGGCGACGGCCCACUCAGCCAGGUUCAGCGUCGAGUGUCUGAAACGGCAAGGUCAACUUGCGGGGUUGCGGCGCCUGGCUCCAUCAUCAUCACCUGAAGCUGUCGAUUUCUUCUAAGGACACAUUGCAGGUGUGAGAGCAUCGAGUAAUCUCUGCACCAGGAUCACAUUAGAGCAGAUUGGUCAUAACAAGCAAGUUUGACAUUUGUUUGCAUUAUGGAAGACAUCCAAACUCGCUGUUAUGUCAGAUGCUGGUGAAAGCUGAAAUAUCUCUGAGGGAAAUGUAGAAAAAUCUUGCUAGCGUCAUCGUUUAUAUCUUUCCGAGACAUACAUUUGUGUGCCUGUAAUAUGAUUUCCAAGGCAUCCCGGUGCAUAUGAUAUAUAAAUUCUUUCAUGUAUA
Molecule: long non-coding RNA, 1206 nt
Organism: Panicum virgatum (switchgrass)
Lineage: Eukaryota; Viridiplantae; Streptophyta; Magnoliopsida; Poales; Poaceae
Exons: 4
Source: RefSeq, a predicted model, not a curated record